Molecule: RNA transcript, 875 nt
Organism: Lagenorhynchus albirostris (white-beaked dolphin)
Lineage: Eukaryota; Metazoa; Chordata; Mammalia; Artiodactyla; Delphinidae
Gene: MRPL42
Gene name: mitochondrial ribosomal protein L42
Exons: 8
Source: RefSeq, a predicted model, not a curated record
CUUAGGACCCGGGUUGAGGUAAGAUGGCGGGCUCGCGGGGUGAAAAUAGUAUACCUAGAAGCAAUUUUUUUUUUUUAGAAGCAGAUUUUAAAAGCAGUUUCUCUUCAAAUCAUCUUUCAUACCACCUGAUAAGCAUCUUGAUUCACCAUGGCGUUGGCAGCAGUAAAAUGGGCCAUAUCAAGAAGAACUAUCUUGAAACAUUUAUUUCCAAUUCAAAUUUAAUCUGCAAACCAGUUCAUUUGCCCCUGGAUGGAACCUUAUAUUGUGUUUGUCAUAAAACUACGUAUUCUUCUCUUCCAGAUGACUAUAAUUGCAAAGUAGAGCUUGCUUUGACAUCUGAUGGCAGGACAAUAGUAUGCUAUCACCCUUCUGUGGACAUUCCGUAUGAACACACAAAACCUAUCCCUCGGCCAGAUCCUGUGCAGAAUAAUGAAGAAACACAUGAUCUAGUGCUGAAAACCAGAUUAGAAGAAAAAGGUGAAUACUUAGAGCAAGGACCCAUGAUAGAACAACUUAGCAAAAUGUUCUUUACUACUAAGCACCGUUGGUAUCCUCGUGGACAUGUUUAAUGAACAGUCAUCCAGAUUGCCGUAUUGAAACUACCUCAAGAUCUGAAAAAAGACUUUCCAAAUGCUUAAUUAAUAGAAGACAAUUUUCACAGCAGGAAAAUGUGACUUAUUAUUAAGAAGUAUCUUCUACCUGAGGUAUCAUAGACGUCGUAGGAAACUGAAUCCUCCAAAAGACAGAUGAUAUUGAGGUUUUCAGGAAUCAAAGAGAAAUGUUAUCCUGCGUCUCAUUUGCCAUUUGAGAAAAUACAAAUUGCGUAUAUUCAUUAAUACGUUAUAUAGUAAAAUAAUAAAAUGUCUUCUCAUAUA